RNAcentral lists this ribosomal RNA (440 nucleotides) under uncultured bacterium. Its description in RNAcentral is "partial 16S ribosomal RNA". It matches the Rfam family "Bacterial small subunit ribosomal RNA", at positions 338 to 795 of the family's 1533-position model. The record is from RNAcentral.
CCUACGGGAGGCAGCAGUGGGGAAUAUUGCACAAUGGGGGAAACCCUGAUGCAGCGACGCCGCGUGAGUGAAGAAGUAUUUCGGUAUGUAAAGCUCUAUCAGCCGGGAAGAGAAUGACGGUACCUGAGUAAGAAGCCCCGGCUAACUACGUGCCAGCAGCCGCGGUUAUACGUGGGGGGGAAGCGUUAUCCGGAUUUACUGGGGGUAAAGGGAGCGUAGACGGCGAAGAAAGUCUGAAGUGAAAGCCCGCGGCUCAACCGCGGAACUGCUGUUGAAACUUUGUUGCUGGAGUACCGGAGAGGUAAGCGGAAUGCCUAGUGUAGCGGUGAAAUGCGUAGAUAUUAGGAGGAACACCAGUUGCGAAGGCGGCUUACUGGACGGUAACUGACGUUGAGGCUCGAAAGCGUGGGGAGCGAACAGGAUUAGAUACCCUUGUAGUC